RNAcentral lists this ribosomal RNA (253 nucleotides) under uncultured bacterium. RNAcentral's name for it is "partial 16S ribosomal RNA". It matches the Rfam family "Bacterial small subunit ribosomal RNA", at positions 524 to 776 of the family's 1533-position model. The record is from RNAcentral.
UACGUAGGCAGCGAGCGUUGUUCGGAGUUACUGGGCGUAAAGGGUGCGUAGGCGGUUGUUUAAGUUUGGUGUGAAAUCUCCCGGCUCAACUGGGAGGGUGCGCCGAAUACUGAAUGACUAGAGUGCGGGAGAGGAGAGUGGAAUUCCUGGUGUAGCGGUGAAAUGCGUAGAUAUCGGGAGGAACACCGGUGGUGUAGACGGCUCUCUGGACCGUAACUGACGCUGAGGCACGAAAGCGUGGGUAGCAAACAGG